Molecule: long non-coding RNA, 17599 nt
Filed under: Vitis vinifera (wine grape)
Lineage: Eukaryota; Viridiplantae; Streptophyta; Magnoliopsida; Vitales; Vitaceae
Description: long non-coding RNA (VVIN_LNC005228)
Source: RNAcentral
UUUUUUUUUUUUUCUAAUACAAAUAAAAUUAAAUUGAUUUUUUUUUUGGGAGAAUUAGUAUAACUAUUUGGUGUAAAUGGGCAGAUAAAAAUAUUAAUAUUAGCUUCUAAAGUUCUAAUAUAUAAAGGGAAAUAAAUAAUAAAUAUAAUUUUUAGAAAAAUAUGUAAAUUUCAAAUAAAUUUAUUGUUAAGGUAAACAUAAUACAUGAGUGGAGGGUUGGGAGGAACUCAUUUAAAUUUUUUUAUAAAAAUAAAAUAAAAUAAAAUAAUAAAAAAUUUUGAUUUAUUUAUUUUUCCUCUUUUAAACCCUACCUCUAGAAAGCUCUGUUUUUCUCGGUUCCGAUUUCAACUGAAUACGGUUUGCGGCUCUCUGCGUCUUGAGCGGCAGCAACUCUCCGACAAGCCCUCUACCGGUGACCACUCUCCAGAAAGCCCUCAGAAGCUUCGGAGUCGUUUUCGAAAACAUUAGGUGAGUCCUUGCUCCCAAAAAAAACCCUAAAUGCUAUAAAUUUACCGAAAAUUGCCCUAAACCCUAGAGAAAAAUCCCUAAAUUAAUGUGAGCAAUUUCUUUGAAUUGGCGCAGAAAAAAAACUCUACAACGUUUCAAUUUUGUAAUCUUCUAUUGGCUGUCAAUCCAUCAAAACAUGGGAAAAGCAAAGAAAGCCCAAAAAUUUGCUGUCAUGAAGAAGAUGGUCACCUCCAAAGCACUUAAAAAGUAAGAUUUUUCUUUUAUACAGAUUUUUUUCCCUCUCUGUAAUAGAUUUAUGUUCCUCUAAUUUUCUUCAAUUGAAUAUAUCUUGAAUUUGUUUUUGGUUUUAUUUAGACACAAAGAAGAGGUUUUGAACCCUACCAAGAAGGACGAAAACAAAGAGAAAACCUCCAGAAAUGUGUAAGUUUUUCUUAAUAAACAAUUUUUCCGCUGCAUUAAUUUCAGAAUUUGCUGUGUUUAAUCAUUGUUAAAUUAUUAUUUAAUUUUCUGAGGAUGCAGGCCAUAUGUUCCGUCCGCUCUUUUCUUCAAGUACAACACUGCUUUGGGGCCGCCUUAUCGGGUUUUGGUCGAUACCAAUUUCAUCAAUUUUUCUAUUCAGAAUAAAGUGAGUGUUUACUGUUGUUUUGUUAACGUAGGGAACAUGAUCUUGUUUAGGUUCUAUUCAAUGUUUGUUUUCUAUGAAUAUAUCUCAAGUUUUCUUUUCUUUUUCUUCUUUCUUCUUCUUCUUCUUUUUUUUUUUUUUUUUUUUUUUUUUUUUUUUGAGAAUUUUCUUUUAGAUUUUUGUGAAAGCUAGUAAUUGUUAUGUGAUUUUGGAAUUCUGGAAGUGUCUUUCUUGGUUUUUAAGAGUUAUAGCAGAUGUGAUUUUUGCUUCAAAAAGCAGGAAAACUACUUCCAAGGUGCUAGCAUAUGAUGCAUUGUAAGUCCUUAGAUGCCCAUUGGUGAAUAUGCUCAAUCGAUGUUAAGUCCAUAUGGUGGGAGAGAAGUAGGAGAGCUUUAAAUAAUGGUGAAAGUUUGGAUCAAACAAUUAAGAGUUGUUUCUUGAAUCCCUUUUAGGAGUGGGUAAGAUUGUAUAUUGGGGACAGAUCUCUAUCGUUGUUAGAGUUUGUGGACUGGAUAGGCUCUUCGUAGGGCAUGACUGCUGGUUUUUGUGUUCCCGCGCUUCUUUUUGGUUUUUUGGUUGCUUUUGUAUACAUCACGUAUACUUCUUUUUUAAUCUAAUACAUUUACAUUUAUCCAAAAAAAAAAAAAAAGCCCAACCGCAUGUUUGUUAGCUUCUGCUGAAGGUGAGUUAUGGCAUUUGGGUAUGGAAUUUUAGGGCCUGGAAAUUGUUUUCUAGCAUAAACACAUGUUUGACAAUUUUCUGUAAACAGUUUUUUCAAAAUUCUUCUAAAAACAGGUGUUUUUUGGGAACAAAUUUGAGAUUUUUUUCAUGUGUUUUUGUAGUGUGUUCUAAAGAACAAUUGAAAAUAUAAAUAAUAGUUUGAAUGUUUUUACAUCAUAUAUAAGAGUACACUACUUUCAUUGAGAAUAGUUGAGAAAAUUGUUUUUCAUGUUUGAAUUUCCAAACAGAUUUUUAUUCCUGUAAACAAUUGAAAACUAUUCCUAAAAAUUGUCCUCAAAAAUGGUUUUUUGACAACUGUUUUUUAAGACGUUGCAAAUGACUAUCCUAAGCAUUUCUCAACGAUGACUAAUGAGUUUUCUCUGAAUUCUUCUGCAGCUUGAUCUGGAGAAAGGGAUGAUGGACUGCUUAUAUGCAAAAUGUGAGUUCAAUGAAGUUAGUGAUUUUGGCAUUUAUUUAAGCUCAUUCCUAAAUGCUGUUAGUCUUUGUCUAAGAAAUUAUGAUGUUACCAUGGUGGUUUGUAUAUUCACUAUGUUGAAAUUGUCCGCUUCAAAACAUUUUGGGCACAAAAUUGACUAAAUUUUGUAUCUUAUCAAUCUGAAAGUAUUUUUAUGUGAUGGGAUUCUUAUAUUAUUUUGUUUUGUCUUUGUUGCUUCCUUCUAUCUUUUAAUUUUAAAGGCACUCCUUGUAUCACGGAUUGUGUGAUGGCAGAGCUUGAGAAGUUAGGUCAGAAAUACCGCGUGGCUCUGAGGUAAAUUUCCAUUUGUUUUACUCAAUGAAAUUGUGAUUCUCAGUAGUUUUUUCCAUACUAUUCACUGAGAAAAUAUUUUUGAUGAUUCUCACCCUAUUAAGCUAUAUUGGAGUCAAAACUAUACAAUUAUGUGUGCAUGUGAAAUAAGAGCUGCAAAAAAGGGAGAUGAAUAUUUAUUCCCAAUUGAAGAAAUUGAGACAUUGAUAUCCAGUUUUACCAUAAAAUAGAAAGAUAAGAUGUCUCUUGAUCUACUUUCUUGGCAGGAUUGCAAAGGAUCCUCGGUUUGAAAGAUUACUCUGUACUCAUAAGGGAACUUAUGCCGAUGACUGUAUUGUUGAUAGAGUUACUCAGGUAUGAUUUGGAUUCUGCACCAUGUUUACAUGUGUAUUAUCUCGGGCUUCUAUAUACAUUGAUCCCAAGCUAUAUUCAUUUUAUGUAAAAAUUUCCGUCGUCCAAUCUGCUUUGUACUGUGGGGCUAUACAUCUUGUGUAAAUACAUUGCAUGGAGUACAGAAUAUGAGUAGUUACCAAAUUAUCUUAUAAAAAUGUGGGUUACAUCAUCCAGUGGUCUAAAUUUCAAGUUGAUUGAAUAUUUUUCAUAAACCAGCCUUAAUGUUCAAAUCAUGUGUAAUGACGAUAAAACUCCAUCCCGAGCUUCCACUCUUACCCCAACCUUGUUGUUCUGGAUACAGGACCAUACCAAAUCGAUCAUCUAAUGGGCUAUGCAGCUGAAUGUCAUUAUAACUGUCCAAAUUGCUCUGUUAUCUUCUACUAUCCUCUUCGCAUGAGUAAUGUGUGUACUAUACUUUGUUUAAAACAGCAUAAAUGCUACAUUGUUGCUACAUGCGAUCGAGACUUGAAGCGAAGGAUUCGCAAGGUAAAAAUGAAUUGAUGAUGCUCAUGACUUGAUAAUUACUUUGCAUCAAGUUCCAAUAUAUUUUUGAUAGGUGCAUCAAGUUCUAAUAUAUGAAAUUUCUUUUCAAUGUGCAGGUCCCUGGUGUGCCAAUAAUGUACAUUACAAAACACCAGUAUUCAAUUGAGCGGUUGCCCGAAGCGACAAUUGGUGGAGGUAGGCUUGAAACUGUUUAUUUAUAUAUAUAGAUGCAAAUACCCCUUUUUUUCUUUUGCCUUCCCUUCCCUUCCCUGUUCUGAGAUAUCUGUUUCCAUUGAUGCAGCUCCAAGAAUUUAAACUGUGAUUGGUAGCUUACAGGUCUGAGGAAGACAGGUGAUUCUGUUUUUGCUAAUUAUCAAUUUUGUUUACUUGUUGUAACUAAAACCAUCUCUAGAUUCAGGUGGAAUUAUGAUUUUUUGUUGAACUGUUUCUCCUUUUUUAGAGACCACAGAUUCUACAUUGUAAUUUCUAUCAAAUGGGGUGCUUCUUGCUCAUUCAACUUAAGAGUUCUGAUUGUUUUUCUUUAACAGUGCUUCUCCUUCUCUUAGAAUCAUUCCAUCAAUGGGAGAAAAUAUAUCAAAACAAUGGAAAAAGCAAAGUAUAUUAGUAAGCAUGAAGCGUUCAUUUCAAUAAAAAUAACAGUCAAUGCCAUUUUGGAGAUCACUUUUCAACUCCAAUCAAAUCUUGAAUCUUUAAUCAGCUCACAGAUGCUUCUAGUAAUUCUAAUCUUUCUUAGGAACCAAACAGUGGGCAAUGCAAUGGAAUUUGUUGUUCUUGUUGGAUGGCACAUUACCUCUUUUUUUUUUAUUCACGUGUUGGUGAGAGAUAAAGGAAGUUUGUGUAUAGUAACUUUGAACUUUUGUAAUAAAAAAAAAAAAUUGAUUUUUUCAAUUUAAUUUUUUGAAAUGACUUUAUAGGUCAAUAAGAGUUUAUCACACACAACAUCAAAUAUGGGCAAGGAUUUCAAAAGUAAUUUUCUUAAUUUGUAUAUAUGUCUGUAUGUAUAUUCCCUCACCUAAAUCAAAACUCUUCUACCAUGCUAUGCUAUGAAACUAAUUUGAUUCAAAAUAAAAAAUGAAAAAUUGUUUUCAAAAAUAGAAAUUAGUGAUUUUAUAGAAAAAAUAGUAUUGUUUUUUUGUUUCUAAAAACAAAAAUCAAAAUGUCAGAUGAGGCAUAUAUACCUUAGCAAAUUUAAGUUGUUUCUUCACAUUGAAUUCAUACCCGAAAGUCUAUCACAAGUUUCUUGCAAUCUUCUUCCACAAACCUGUAGAUUUGACAAACAAUUUGAUACAUGUGGUCCAACAUAUGUGCCUAUAAAUUUCCAUACCUUCCUCUCAAUUUUUCAUCCAAGCAACAAAGCUCAAUGGCACACCACUCUCUCCUUUCAUUAGCCCUCCUCAGCUUUUUCUUUCUUGCCUCCAUCUCCAACACUAAUGCAGGUACAAUAACAGUCUACUGGGGCCAAAAUGGGAACGAGGGCAGCUUGGCUGAUACCUGCUCCUCAGGCUAUUAUGGAAUUGUCAAUAUUGCUUUCUUGGUUGUUUUUGGCAAUAACCAGACUCCGCAGCUGAAUCUAGCUGGCCAUUGUGACCCGACUUCUAGUGGUUGCACAUGGUUGAGUGAUGACAUUAAAGCAUGCCAGGAUCAAGGCAUCAAGGUGUUGCUUUCCAUCGGAGGUGCCUCGGGAAGCUAUACUUUGAUCUCUGCAGAGGAUGCCAGGUGAUUAUUCUUCAAAAAUAUAUAGACUAUGUUUGGUUCCUAAGAAAAAAAUACUGAAGAAAAGAUCAGUGCUGAUUCUAUUGUUGUGAUGCAGGGAAGUUGCAAAUUACCUAUGGAACAAUUUUUUCGGGGGCCAAUCAAGCUCACGACCGUUAGGAGAUGCUGUUCUAGAUGGGAUUGAUUUUGACAUUGAGGGAGGCACAACCCAGCACUGGGAUGAACUAGCCAAGGCCUUGUCGGAGUUCAGCGGGCAGAGGAAGGUGUACCUAUCAGCAGCUCCACAGUGCCCAUUUCCGGAUGCAUGGUUGGGCACUGCCAUUGCCACAGGUCUAUUCGACUAUGUUUGGGUCCAAUUCUACAACAAUCCCCCCUGCCAAUACUCCGGCAACGCUGACAACCUUAUCAACUCCUGGAACCAAUGGACCACGAUUGAAGCUGGUCAAGUAUUUUUGGGGUUGCCUGCAGCCUCAGCAGCAGCCGGAUCUGGCUACAUCGAACCGGACGUGCUCGUCUCCCAGGUCCUGCCGUCCAUCAAGACUUCCCCCAAGUAUGGAGGUGUGAUGCUUUGGUCUAGAUAUUAUGAUAAUGGCUAUAGUGCAGCCAUUCUGUCCAGUGUUUGAAGUCUUGUCUUCCUAUAUAUGUCUACUUCUAAUAUGGUCACAUAAAUGAGCUUUGAUACUUUCUGAAACUUGAAUGAAAUAUAAAUUUUCUGCUGUGAUGAUUAAUACAAAUAUAUAUAUAGAUGGCACAAUAUCUUUCAAAGGCUCUCUCUAAAAGCCUCUGCUUACCAAGCAGCCCAUUUGCCUCAACCAUGUACUCCCAACUCUACUUUGCAAUUCCCUUGCUGAUCUUGCAGUUUAUCAAUCUCAUCACAUUUAAAUUUUUUUAAAUGAAAAUAUUAUCGUAGAACCCUAUUGAAAUAUAUGGUCAAUACAAAAAUCAUAGGCAUAGGAGAAAGGCCACAUUAAUGAGUCACGGCUCAUGAAUGCCAAUCCAGUUAGCUUUCCAUAGCUUUCCAUUUCGGGUAGUUGGAUGUCCAGGGUGCCAAUCAAGUUAGGCAGAUGUUUCCAUUUCCAGAUCAUUUUUAACAGAAGCAAAGUUUGGCAUAAGAAAAUAGUGAAAUAUGGGCUAUGAAAUGGGCAUAUUCCUACAUCCAACAGAUUCAUUAAACCACCAACCAAACAAUAAUCAAUGGCUCUCCAUAGCUUUCCAUUUCGGGUAAUUGGAUUUCUAGGGUGCCAAUCCAGUUAGGCAGAUGUUUCCAUUUCCAUAUUAUUUUUAACAGAAGCAAAGUUUGGCAUAAGAAAAUAGCUGGAUUAUUAAGGAUAUGUUUGGCAACUGCUUUUGAAAAACAGAUUUUUUGGAAACCCAAAAUGUUUUUAAUAGUUUUAAAAAUAAUUUUUAUAUUUAGUAUUUUAUUUUUAAUCAUUUUAUAUAUUUGUAUAAUUAUUUUUUAAAAUAACUCUUAUAAAACAAAUGAAAACAGUAAAAAACAACUAAAAAAUAUUCUUCAAAAAUACAAUUUUUUUGUUCUUAAGAACAUAAAUAGAAAAUAAUUUUUUAUUGUCAAACAUGUUUUCUAGCCUUUUUUUGUUUUGGAGAACGAAAAAUUGUUCUAAAAAACAAUUGUUGAAUAGACCUUAAGGCUUUGUUUAAGAUGUGUUUUCAAAAAUAGUUUUUGAAAAUUGUUCUCUAAUAUUUUUUAACAUGUUUUUUUUAACCUUUUUUAAUAUAUUUUAAAAAUAAUUUUUAAAUGUGAUGCUUUAUUUUUUUUUAUCAUUCUCUAUAUUUAUAUUAUUAUUUUUUUAAACAGUCUUCAUAAAAUAGAUGAAAAUAAAUGAAAUAAAUAAAAGAUGCAUGUUUUCCAAAAUUUCUUUUUUUUUUUUUCAAUUUUAAGAAAGAAAACUAUUUUCUAUUUUCUAUUUUCUAAUUACUAAAUAUGUUUUUUAUUUUUAUUUUUUAUCUUAGAGAACAAAAAAUUGUUUUUAAAAACAAAUACCAAACCCGAGUUAAUAAUUUUGAAGAAUUAUCCCAAAAAACAAAGAACAAGACAAACUUAAACUUGUAUGACAUAUCCAUCUUCAUGUGAAAGAAAAAUAAAACUAAAAACUAUUCAAAAACGUUAAAUGAAUACUAGAAACAUGUUUUCAAAUCCUUCUCAAUAAGAAUAACUUUUUAAAUUAGAACAAUUUUCAAAUCCUUGUCCAUAUCACAUAGAUGAAUAAAAAUUCUAAGAUGCUUCGAAAGAUGUUUCAUACAAAUAUUCUAAAAUAUCAUAUUGUAUUAUUAGUCAUUAUGAUAUACUCUAUCUACCUAUAAACUCCUUUAAAAACUUAAAUUAAAAUAAUCAUUAUUUUAAAAACGAUCAAUUGAGCUUAACAAAACCUAACCUCUAAUCCAAGGUACUCAACUCAAUUCCAACUCAACUUUAUUCCUCUAAACUCGAGUUGAGUUCAGAUUAUUCAUGUUAGACUCAGAUUUAUAGAGUUAAACUUAAGUCAAUUGGAUUAAGUUCAAGUUGAUUAAAUUACAUAAUUUAAAAUAUAUCUAUCCAACCCUCCAUCUAAUCUAUUGAAAUAUGUGAUAAAAUUUAAAUACUUAAUGGAAAUCCAAAUAAAUAUGACUAAAAUAUAAUGAUACAAAUGAAUGAAACUUAAGUAAAAAAUAAUUAGAUCGAAAUAUUUAUACGGAUAUUUACAAUUUGAUAAUGACUUUCUAUAAGAAAAGCCUCAUUGAUGAGUCAUGGUUCAUGAAUGCCAAUCCAUUUAGACAGAACUACUUUUGUCUAUUUCCAAACCAUUUUUAAUAAAGUCAAUAUUGAUAUAGUAAAUAGUUUGCCACGUUUUAUUUGAUUCUAUUUAAUAAUUGUAUUAUCAAUAGUGUAAUUGGAUGUACGAUGUGUCAACCCAAUUAGGCAGAUGUCCAUUUCCAAAUUUAUUUUCAACAUAAGCCACAUGCCCCGUUUGACGUAGGAAAAUGCCUUGUUGACACGUUUUUUUUUUUAAAAUUAUAUUACAUCAAUGCAGUAAGUUUGUAUUAUUGCUUUCAAGUGAAGGUGAAAUAAUUUUACAUUACAGAAAUUAUAGUGAUUUUAGAAAGUGUUUUUAAUAUUUUAAUACUUAAAAGAUAAAAAAUUUAAAAUGUUAAAAAUACUAAAAUUGCUUUCAAAAAUCACUAUCAAAUACAUUCUAAAAUUUCUUUGACGAACGAUUUUGAGGGAAUAAAAUACUCUUUUAACAUAGAAAGUUGUUUAUUAUAAAAAUUAAAGUAUUUAAUAAAAAAUUUAAAAUAAUUUUAAAACAUUUAUUUAUUUUUUGUAUAAAAUAUAAUGACUCUUAUGAGUUUUCAUUGAAAAAGUAAUAAUUUUAAAAACUAUUUAAUAUUAAAAAAAUAUCUUUUUUAUUCCUUUCACUUUGAUUAUAGUCCAAUAAAAAAUAAUGAAAGUAUUUUCUUUAUUUUAAAGUCAACAAAUGAUUUAGAAUGGUCUAUUCUCAAAUAACUAAAUAAAAAACACAUGUAGUUUUUUUUUGUGAUUUCUCAAAUUUGUCGGAAGAUUUUGUGAAACAUUUUCUUCUGUGUGGAGUCAUUUUGUCAAUCUCCAUCAUUGAAAGAAUUUACCAUUAUUUAUAGGCAAAAUUAGCCAAUUAAAUUUGGAAUAUUCAAGAUUUAAUUGCUUAAUUAGAGAAUUUCGUUCUUUAAUUUUAGCAACUUGUUUUCUUUCUUUAGGAAAUUUCUAAAGAAAAUAUUUAUUUUUAAUUCUCUUCUUACUUCAAUUAAAAAAUUAGUCUCCUUUGUUUAGGAAAAUAUUUAUUUCUAAUUCUCCUUGACUUUGAUUUUAUUUUGUCCGACUUAAUUUUGUAGUCAUCCAAAUUUAAUUUGUUUGGUAAAAUAACUUAAUGAUAUGAAUUAAAGUUAACAACAACUUUAAGUAAUAAGUAAAAACAAUUAACUUAUUUUAAGUUCAUAUUUUCAUUUUUACCUUUUUACUCAUAUUUGUCCUAUUACUCCUAUGAUCUUUUUUUACUGUUCCACGACGUCCAUUAUUACUUGAUAUAUUUUGUCCUAAUUAUAAUUUAUGAGAAUAAAUAUAUCAAUUUGAUGAUUUAGAAUAAAUUUUAAGUUAAUUUUAUCAAACAAUCUUAAUACUUAAAGUAAGAAUUAAAUAAUAAAUUUUAAGUUAACAAUUUAAAUAUAAUUUAACUUAAAAUCAACUUAAGUUAUUAAGUAAUGAAUAUUAAGUUUUACCAAACAACUUUGUUGUUUGUUUGAAAAUAGAUUAUGUUUUUUAUUUUUAAAAAUGAAAAAUAGUGGUAAGUUGUAUAUAUCAUGUAUAUAAUAACUUUUAUUUAUAGAAUUAAAAAAAAUUUAUAUUUUUAAAAUUUGUAAAAAUAAAAAUAUUUUAGUAUUUCAAUUUUUUUUAGAACAUUUUUCAAAAGCCAUUAUGUUUUUUUUUCUUCUUUUUAAGAUAAGUAUAAAGGACUUUUUGUAUUUAAAAUAAGAAAUCAAAAUGCCAACAUGGAAAAAGAGAAAAGAUACAUGCAUGAACGUUUUAAUUGAGGGAGGCAUCCGACCCUCUUCAAAUAGUUUUUAGAAGAGAUUAUGACUUAAUAUGCUAAUUGAGUUCAAAUUCUAUAAGUUUAAAUUUUUAAGAAAAUUGAUAAGUUUUUUUAUUUAUUUAUUUUUUUAUUAUGAAAGUAUUAAUAAUUCAAAUUUUAUAUAGUCUAUUUUUUUGUAAUUUUAAAAAGCACUUUUAAUAAAAAAAAAUUUAAGAAAAAUAAGAUAUUUUGAAAAAUUUAGGAAAAGCUUUUAUAAAGUUUAAAAAUCACUUCUAAAACUUAUUAGAGAAGCAUUUGAAAGAAGAUUCUAACCAAAACACUACCCUUCAAACCAUCCUUAUCUCCUGCACUCCACUUUUAAGAUAAGAAAUCAAAAUGUGGACAUGGAAAAGGUGAAAAGAUGCAUGCAUGAUCCAUGAACGUGUUAAAUGAGGCAUCCCGGCCCUCUGCAAAAAUGUGAAAUAUGGGCUAUAAAUAGGGCAUAUUCCUACAUCCAACAGAUUCAUUAAACCACCAACCAAACAAUAAUCAAUGGCUCUCCAUAGCUUUGCAGCAGUAGUAGUAGUAACGCUAGUCUCUUGCCUGCUGGCUCCUCCUGCAGUCGAGGCCUCAUCAGUCAAUAUCUCUACUUACUGGGGCACUGAUGCAAGAGAAGGUAGCGUGGAAGAUGACUGUAACGCCUCCUUGUAUAGUAUCUUCAACAUCGGUUUCGUAGACAGAUUUGGAUAUGACUGGCCUCCAAGACUCAACAUCCACCACUGUAACGCAUCAGUACAGGGGUGCAAGUACCUGGGCACUGAAAUAAAAGUUUGCCAAGAAAGGGGGGUUAAAGUGCUCAUCUCUAUUGGAGGCCCGGGUGGAGACUACAACCUCGCCUCUUCAGAUGAUGCUACGUAAGUUAGUUGCUAAAACUGAUGAUGAUGAUGAUUUAACAGAAAAUAAAAUCGUUUUAAAAAACAGUUGCCAAACAGGGCUAAGCUAAUUAGGUGCCUUAUUGAUUGAUUUUCACUUCAUUUUAAUUUGUAGGGAGCUCGCAAACUACUUGUGGAACGCCUAUCUUGGUGGCAACCAAUCGACUGUUGAUCGUCCGUUUGAGGAUGCAAUUCUGGAUGGAGUUGACUUCUUCAUUCAGGCAGGCAGUACCCUGUAUUGGGAUGUGCUUGCUGAGGCCCUUAGAAACCUCAGCAAUAAUGGAACCCAGAUGGAAUUAAGUGCCACUCCCAAAUGCAAAUACCCAGACGAAUACCUCGGCGCUGCAAUUCAAACCGGGCUCUUUGAUUAUGCUCAGGUGCGAUUCUAUGAUGAAGAUGGCUGCCAGUAUAAUGGCAGCUUCGACGGCAUGAAGAGUGCGUGGGAUGAAUGGACAGCUGAGGCUAAUGUGGAUAAAAUAUUUGCGGGAGUGACUGCAUCUGAAUCUGAUCAAGGUUACGUUGAUGCAGAUGAUCUGGCCUCUGAGUUCCUACCAGAUGCUGAGCAGUCCCCAAAGUUUGGAGGUCUGAUGGUGUGGUAUCUCUACACUGACCAUCAGUCCGGUUACAGCGCAAGGAUCAAAGCUUUGAAUCCUACAAUUCAAACUGCUCCUUCAGGAGUUGAAGUUGAAUAAGCAGAUCUGUAUGAAUGGCGGCUGAUCAUCCCAUGAUCAGUAAGCUUAAGUACGUACUUUGAAAUAGUAUUGUAACGCCUGCUGUUUGCUUUUCAUUCAAUAAAUUUGGCCUCUCAUGCAUAUUUCCUCACAGAGACACAUGUGAUCUGGGGGGUAAAUAUAUAGGUAUGAAGCCAAAACAAGCUUGUACCUAGUCUGAUGUAUCCCUGUUAAUGAAGUUGUGUGGUUUGUGUGAUAAAAUUACCUUUAGCCUGCCUGUUGGUAUCUUCCAUUUACAAAUGCAAAUGACACUUGAUCUACAUUAUUACUUAUAUAAUUUAUUUAUUUACUUACUCUUCUAUUUUCAUAUUUCUUUAAUAUAUAUUAUUUCUUUUUUAUAAAUAAAAAAAUUACUUAGUAUACAUGCUUCCGGUAUUUCUUUAUUCUUUUAUUAUAUUGUUCUUUUUUACCAAAAAAAAAAAUUAUUUAUUUACUUGAUCUUCUAAUUUCAAAACCUUUUCGUCCUUUUUUUUUUUUAAUAUAUAUUCUUUUUUAUAAAGAAACUUGAAUUAUUUAUUCACUAAAUUAUUCAUCUAUUAAAUUAUUAUUAUUAUUAUAUUUCUUCAAUUAUAAAAGGCAUAAAUCCUAACUCUCAUAGUUAAUAGUGGUUACUCAGGGCUUUAUUUCUAGGGUUAUUUUUUUGGAAGAAACAAAUGGAGGCGUUAGGGUUUGUUUUUGCUACAUACAAUAUUUUUCUAUUUAUACUAAACCUUUAUUUACGUAAUUUUCUAUAUUUAUUUAUUAUUUUAUUUAUUUCUCUAUUAUUGCUAGAUGUUAUAUUUAUAAAAAUUUAAAUUAUUUAAUUACUCAAUAUUUUUUAUAUUUAUUUUUUGAUAUAUAUUAUUCUUGUUUUAGAAAAAAAAAAUUAACUAACUUUUUAUUUACUUAAUUUCAAGUUUUGAUAUUUCUUAAAAUCUUUUUUAUUUCAUAUUUUAAUAAAUGAUUAUUUUUUAUAACAUAAAAUAAAAUAAUUCCAAAUUGAUUAAGUCAUUCAAAUAAAAUAAAAAUAAAAAAAGGUAAAUAUUGUUAAGUAACAACAUAUCAUAAAAAUUUAAAAUAUUUUACUUCUUGGAAAUGUUAAAAGUAAAUUAUUGAUUUUUUUUCUUUAUUUUUUAAUACAUAAUACAAAUAAAAUAUUUAAAAAAAUGAAGAAUUUAACACUUAACACUAUUAAUAUUAUUCAAUUUUAAAUUCUAUUUAAAAUUAAGAAAAAAAAAAACAUCGCCUUACUAUAGAAUUAAAUUAGAUAAUCUAAUAUAAAUUAUUUAUAUUUAAAAAAAAUUAUUUUAUAUUUAAUAAUACCAAAACAACUCUCACUUGUGCUUUUACAUCUCUUCCUCAACUUCAAAGAUAAUAAUGAAACAUAUUUUUCUUUAAGUACUCAACCCAAUUUAUCCUAAUAGAACAAAACAGAUUUAGAAAAAUCCUAAACCGGUUAGAAACGGGUUUAAGAAGAUAUUGGUUAUAGUAUUACCUCAUCCCAGCUCUAUGUCUUUAUCAUUUAUAUGUAUAAUUAAAUAAAAAUAAUAGUUCAUUUUUAUUUUUUAUUUAAAAAAAAUUAAAUAUGGGAUGACAUACCCAAGUUGCCACCUCAAUUGGGCGAAGCUAACCAUCAUCCUCAACCCACGCACAAUAUCACAAUUAAUUAUAUAUGCAUGCCACCAUAAUGAUGAUUGAAAGGUAGGAUCACACCCCCCCUUUUUUUUUUUUUAAUUUUAUUAAAUUAUGAUUUUAAAAAAAAUGUAUAGAUGUCUCAAUGUUUUAGAGGUGAAAUAUUUAGAAAAGUUUUUUAAAUAUUAAAAAAUGUAUUUCAAAAUCAAAUAUCAAGAUAUAAAUUUCAAAGUAGGUUGUAUUGAAUUUAAAAAAUAAUAAUGUCAACUCAAUUUUAAUAGAAAUCUUUUUAAAAUACAAUCCCAAAUAGUAAUUAUUUUUAUUUCUAUUUUUAUUUUCUGUUAAAUAGAUUUAGCAAAUGAUAUGUGUUUAUAUUUGAAUUUGACAUAUGAAUUCUUUAUAAAAAUUGAACCACAUAAUCACCAAAUCUUAACUUGAACUUUCCUUAAAGUUCAAACCUCCUUAUUAUUUUUUUUGUGAAAAAUACGUUUUAUAUCAAAUAAAUUUAUUAAAAAUAGAAUUCUUUUUUUCAUUUGAAUUUUGAGAAUCUCCAAUGUCUAUAAGUUUGAAAUUCAAAAAAUAAUUAUUUAUGCUUUUGAAAAAGAGUUAUUUGUAAAGAUUUAAUUGGCAAAGUUUCCAAAUUAUUCUAUAGAACUUUACAUUGAAGAGGUAUAUCUUGUGUUUUUGAAUUUAUUAAUUAUUUUUUAAAAUAAAAUAAUAUAUAAAAAUGGAAAUAUACGAACUCAUUCUCAUUGAAGAUAUUAUAUAUACUAUUAAGAAAGAUUCUAUGUUCUUCUCUAUGAAAGAACCCAUAAACACACCAUAACAUAAUGUUUGCAAAAAUUACAAAGGAGGAGGAGGAGAAAGAGAAAUUACAAAGGAGGAGGAGGAGAAAGAGAUAUAAACAAAUAAAAAAGAAUAAUAGCUUCACGCAAAUUUUGGAGAAAUCCAAAGUAGAGGUUGUGGGGAAUGUGGGAAAAGCAGUGUAACAGUCCUAUCACUUAGACUGAAAACAUACAUACUUCCAUCAGCAUUUGAAAAAAAACUACAACGUUGGCAGAAGUAUAUAGAAUUUGGCCGGCAUCCCGCAAAAUCAGAAGCUAUGACAGAAAUUGAAUGAUUGUCUCCCAAAAACAAGGCAACAUCGCCCAAACUCAUAACCUCUUCCCAUCUUGGAUUCUUUGAAAAUCAUUGUAACUUAUAAAUCACAAAUCCGGCCCCCUUCAUGCUUUGUAACCUGCAAGAGAUCUCCUUCAGGAGAUUCCACUGGAUUCUUUGAAAACCAUUGUAACUUAUAAAUCACAAAUCCCCUUUCAUGCUUUAUAACCCGCAAGAGAUCUCCUUCAGGAGAUUCCACCAAAUAUGAGUCAAGAGCACAAUGAAUAUCGGGUGAAGUAAUCCUUCUCACUUUAAAAUCAUUACUCACAUCACAAGAGAAGAGCACACCCCGUCCGUCUAAUACAUAGAAUAACCCAUUGCUGUAAACAAUGUCUUUCACAUCCCGCAACCCUUCAAUAUAAGUCCAGUCUUCUUCUCCUGAUUUAAUGAAUGCUAAUCUUACUACCAAACUACCACACGUCAUAUGAGUACAAACUCGUCCCCAUUCACAUCAGGAUCAAUAGACAAUACACCCCUCCUCGGGUUAUAAGGGAAGAUAGUUCUGUACACACUGCCUGAAAGUUCACGGAAUGAUGAUUUUUCGAGGGGAGGAAGAUGAAUGAGUUUUCCAGAGAAUGGGUUGUGGAGGGUUACCUUAUAAGAAUCAUUAUUUACCAGAAUCAACCAGCCAUGAGAAGACCCUCCACACCUCCAUCGCCCCUGCCUCAACUGAACCUCCCAAAGGCUUUUUCCGUUCAUGACGUCAUAUAAACAGCACCUUUCUCUGGAAUUAUCUGCGGUGGGAGCCAUUAACAAUGGGACUUGUUGGUGCAGACGACAAUGGCGUUUAUGGUUAGAGCGUAAAUGUUGAAGUUUUUCGCGAACUGCAUACUGCCAUUGAAUGCAAACCUCACCGAAUGUGAAGUAGUCCUCCAUGGGCACUAAGUAAUCUAAGAUCGAACCGAGAAGAUUUAUACAGAGUGAUGCCCAAUCUGAACUUGAGGGCAAAGCCAUUCUUCUGAUUGUGAUCGAGAAGAGGAAGAAGAUGAUGAAAAAUUAGGGUUUAACAGAUUAGGGUUUAACGUAUAUAAAAAAAAAUAAAGGGUGGGUGCAUGUAUAUAUAUAGGACUGAGUACAAAUUUGGAAACCUAAUUUCAAUCCAAAUAUAACUCUAUAGAUUUAUAGAAUUUAAUAAUAAAAUUUAAUCGCAUUAUAAAAUAUUUUAGUUAAUUUAAUUUAUAUCUAUAUCUAUAAAUUAAGUAGACUUAUUUUUUUUUAAAUAAUUUAAAUAUUAAAAUUUUCUUUUUAUUUUCUUAAAUCGCAUUAUAAAAUUUUCUUAAAUAGCUCAUCAUGCAUUAUAAAAUAAUCUUUUUAUUUUUUUUCCAUAUUUUUAUUCUUUUGUUUCCAUAUAUUGUUCAUGUCUUAUUCAUUACUUGAACUUUUAAACCUUCUAUUUUCAUAUUUCUUUAAUAUAUACUAUUUCUUUUUAUAAAAAAAAAAAAAAUUUACUUAGUAAACAUGCUUUCGGUAUUUCUUUAUUCUUUCAUGUAUAUUAUAUAUAUAUAUAUAUAUAUAUAUAUAUAUAUAUAUAUUUUAACUUGAUUUUCUAUUUUCAAAAUCUAUCGUCCAUAUUUUUUAAAUAUAUGUUAUUUUUUAUAAAAAAAAACUUGAAUUAUUUAUUGACUAAAUUAUUCAUCUAUUAAAUAAUUUUAUUAUUAUUAUUAUUAUUAUUAUUAUUAUUAUUAUUAUUAUUAUUAUUCUAAUUAAAUUAAAAAAAGGCAUAAAUUCUAUAUCUCAUAGUUAAUCACGGUAGAAUAUUUUUAUUUUCUUUUUGUUCAAAUUUGAAAUCUAUUAAUCAGUAUAAUUAAUUGAUUCCUACCUAGGGCAUUAUUUCUAGAGUUAUUUCUUCCAAGAAACAAAUGGAAGGGUUAGGGCUUGUUUUUGCUACAUUCUUAUUUUUCUAUUUGCACUAAACUUUUAUUUGCUUAAUUUUCUAUAUUUAUUUAUUAUUGUAUUUAUUCCUUUAUUAUUGCUAGAUAUUAUAUUUAUAAAAAUUUAAAUUAUUUAUUUACUCAAUAAGUUUUAUAAACAGAAAUAUUAAUGUGAACAUGGCAAAAGAGAAAAGAUUCAUGCAGAAUCGUAUUAAAGGAGACGUUCCCUCUCCAAAGUAUCGUACGAUCCUCAAUAAUAAUAAAAGUGUUGGUGCAUAUAACACGUACCAAUUAUUAUCAAAAGAUGCAUGCAUGAACGUGUUAAAUGAGGCAUCCCUUAUGCAAAUCAAGUGGUUUCUUGACAUUAAAUUCAUACCCGAAAGUCUAUAACAAGUUUCUUGCAAUCUUCUUCCACAAACGUGUAGAUUUGACAAACAUUUUGAUACAUAUAGUCCAACAUAUGUACCUAUAAAUUUCCAUACCUUCCUCUCAAUUUUUCAUCCAAGCAACAAAGCUCAAUGGCACACCGCUCUCUCCUUUCAUUGGCCCUCCUCAGCUUUUUCUUUCUUGCCUUGAUCUCCAACACUAAUGCAGGUACAAUAACAGUCUACUGGGGCCAAAAUGGGAACGAGGGCAGCUUGGCUGAUACCUGCUCCUCGGGCUAUUAUGGAAUUGUCAAUAUUGCUUUCUUGGUUGUUUUUGGCAAUAACCAGACUCCGCAGAUGAAUCUAGCUGGCCAUUGAGACCCGAACUCUGGUGGUUGAUCAUGGUUGAGUACUGGCAUUAAAGCAUGCCAGGAUCAAGGCAUCAAGGUGUUGCGAGGUGCCUCGGGAAGCUAUACCUUGACCUCUGUAGAGGAUGCCAGGUGAUUAUUCUUCUCAAAUACGUAGACUAUGUUUGGUUCCUAAGAAAAAAAUACUAAAUAAAAUGAUAUUCGAUUUCCACCCAUUUUUCUUUCUUUCUAUUUUUUCUCUUUAUUUUCUCUCCCUCUCAUUUUCCCUCAAACUUUCGGGGACCCAAUCAUAGCCAUAGCCAUAGCGUCUAAUCCUUGUGGGAUCAAUGCUGAUUUUGUUGUUGUGAUGCAGGCAAGUUGCAAAUUACCUAUGGAACAAUUUUCUUGGGGGCCAAUCAAGCUCACGACCAUUAGGAGAUGCUGUUUUAGAUGGGAUUGAUUUUGACAUUCAGGGAGGCACAACCCAGCACUGGGAUGAACUAGCCAAGACCUUGUCGGAGUUCAGCGGGCAGAGGAAGGUGUACCUAUCAGCAGCUCCACAGUGCCCAUUUCCGGAUGCAUGGAUGGGCACUGCCAUUGCCACAGGCCUAUUCGACUAUGUUUGGGUCCAAUUCUACAACAAUCCCCCCUGUCAAUACUCCGGCAACGCCGACAACUUAAUCAACUCCUGGAACCAAUGGACCACGAUUGAAGCUGGUCAAGUAUUUUUGGGAUUGCCGGCAGCCCCAGCAGCAGCUGGGUCUGGCUACAUCGAACAGGACGUGCUCGUCUCCCAGGUCCUGCCGUCCAUCAAGACUUCCCCCAAGUAUGGAGGUGUCAUGCUUUGGUCUAGAUAUUAU